Molecule: long non-coding RNA, 2590 nt
Organism: Meriones unguiculatus (Mongolian gerbil)
Lineage: Eukaryota; Metazoa; Chordata; Mammalia; Rodentia; Muridae
Exons: 3
Source: RefSeq, a predicted model, not a curated record
AAUCCCACACGCAACCAUAGGCAGACCAACACCUGACUGCUCAUCGGAAGCAACAGAGGCCACAGGACAAUGGAAUACAACAUACGAUAAAUAUGGAAAUUGUUGUAUAUAUCCAUGGCCCGAUGAAGCUUGUUCUGAAACACACCAGCAGGGCACACGGGAUACAGUCACCUUGCUAGGUUGUGAGCAGACAUCCUGGUAGAGGGAGCAGAGCAUUGCACGGUUGUCACGACCAGCCCACGAGUGAGUGGGAGAAGGAUCCGACCUCUCUCCCCAUUUAAAGCAAGGGAGCCAGGAUUUGAAUGGAUGUGAUGUGGUCUCUCAGCCUCUGAGCUCCAAGACAUACUUCUGCCUAAAGGAGCUGGGCCUGCUGGUGUCAAAGAACCCUGCAGAAACUGCCUCAUGGAUGCCCACUGCAUUAGUUGGCCUUCAGUUCCCCGAGCCCCUGCUGCUUAGAUUGGCCUCCUCUGGAACACUCUCCCUGGGCCCUACCCUGCAGGGAAGUCUCUAGAAAUGCUGGAAUGUACUCUGCCUGGCUGAGGACUGGGCAUGGCCCACCCCCAGGCACUGGCUAAUGAAACAGUCUAGGCCUUGCCUCCAGGAAGCUCACUCACACAGCCCAUGCCAGGAGAGGUGAGGAGGUACAAAAUCAUGGUGAGAAGAAUUCCAGGAUCGCACCUGUGCCAAGGGGCACACAGUGGGUGGAAGCUGGUGUGUGUCAGGAGUGGGGGUGUCCUGCAGCAGGGAUGAGAACAGAGAACUAAAAAAAUAAAAGCACACUUUGCUCUGUGAAGAAGGAGGAGGGGGCAAGGAAAGGGUAGGGGAGAAACAGGGUCCCAAAAGAGCUGGAAGAGAUCACAAAGUCAAUGGGAGGAGGAGGCUGCAGGGACGCUGCCCCAGAAUCUCAAAACUUAGAGGAAGCAGAGAUGCCUGGCACCACCCAUGAACCACUCACUCCUGGUUCUUCCAGGCUUCGCUUCUUGAAGCCUUUCCUUCCUAUUCCCUGCCCUGUGUGAGGAUGAGAAACCAGACAAAGAUGGGCCAGCUGCGGGGUGCAGGGCUGAAGGCAGCGUUUGGCAGAGCUUUACCACAAGCCAGCCACUCAGGUGGGAGGGAGAAGAGCCAGCGGAGAUGAUGCCCCGGCUCUGAGAGGCAGGGCGGAAUCUACGCUGCUCUGUUGGGCCGCCUGACGCCAAACCACGUGAAUGCCGCUCAGUGGCAGAGUCAGCCACUUGAGAUCACUACAGAAGAGACAGGCCCAGCUUUCCAGUGUAACAAAAAGCACCUUCAGAGUCCAGGCCUAAAUCGACGGCCGCUCCUUGUCUCCAUUUACCCAGGGCACAGGGAAGCUGGCUUCUCUGCCCAUAGGGCCACCAGGCCGAAAUCUAGGAGUUGGCCUCGACCUCAGCUUGUGUCUAGAUUUUGAGGGCCUCUCUUAAGCAUAAUGGUUGCUGGCAGAGUGCAUUUCUUUGAAGUCCAUGGAGUCAGAGGAAACACCAGUGCCAUCCACUGUCAGGCUCACCGAGGAGAAUCACAGAAGAAAAGGGGUCUGCCUGGUUGUUCUCAGAGCUGUGCCCUGAGCAUUUGGCCGGUCCCUGGCAGGCACGGGCAUCGGUGUUUUGCCAAUAAAGAAUUAGUCUGAAUGUUUUCAACAAAGUGUCUUACUGGGGUAUUUGAUAUGUGUGCCAAAUGGCUCCCCCUUUCACCUUCCCGUGACCACCAAAUAUACAGCUAAACUGCUGACGUUUAGCUGCUCUUCGCUGAGCACCUGCUCUGGGCAGGCCUUGUUCUCUACUGCUGGGCACACCACACAGACCACACAGAACUCCGUCCAGGGGUGAGACCUUGCCUCUGAUAGCUGAAGCACCUGUACUGCGUGAAACCUCGUCGUUCCCACCAGCACAGCCGCCAGCCAACCCCAGGUAGCGUCAGACUCCCAACGUCACUCCUGCUCAUUUCUCCCAUGAGAGCUGAGAACUGGGACACAAGAGAAGCCAGCAGAAACAGCAAGACAGCUUCUCCCUCAGUUCCUUGCUUGGGCCUACCCUGGGACUCCCGUGGAACAGCUCUUUUGGCUCCACCUUUGUUCACCUUCACGGGAAAUAGGCUCACAGGCACUAUUCCGACUGGCCAGCUGUGCUGCUGCUGCUCCCAUUUCGCCAGCAGGCUACGCCAUGACCCACCCUACGGAGGACAGACUCCUCAACCUGGCAGCUUCACGGUGGAAACCGUAGUUCCACUGCCCAAACUCUACAAGUCCAGGCAGGCACUGAGCUGCUGAGCUGUCUCCAUGAGGUCGAGGACCAGUGUCAGCUAGCCGAGUCCUACCCAGCUCUCCGAGCAUUGAGGAUCUGGAAGACCCGGGCUGGGCUCAUCUUGAAGUAACUGUUCAGAUGGCGUAAGCCAAACGUGGACGGUCUGCUCGUUAACCACACGUGAGCCUGGCUCGGUAUUGCUUCGUGCUCUGUGGGGUGAGGGAGGUCCAGUGGAAUGCACACGAGGCAGGCGGUCGGUCCCCCACUGGCUCGCCAAAAACCUCAGCAUUUUCGCUUCAGGGUUUUUGUGUGUUUGUUUGUUUGUAACGAAAAAU